RNAcentral lists this long non-coding RNA (1362 nucleotides) under Gossypium barbadense (sea-island cotton). RNAcentral describes it as "long non-coding RNA (GBAR_LNC020588)". Lineage: Eukaryota; Viridiplantae; Streptophyta; Magnoliopsida; Malvales; Malvaceae. The record is from RNAcentral.
AAAAUAAGUUACAAAGUUGUGAAUAGAUAAACAUGUAUUUGUAAUAAAAUAGUUUAAAGUUGUGAAUAAGUAAAUGUUAAUUAGUUUUGUAUGGAGGUUUAAAAGAGUAAUCCUUAUAGAUAAGAAUGAAAAGAUACAUUAAGAACAAAAUGAGUGUUCUUUAGGAAUCUAAAGUUAUAGAAUAAUAAUAAGAUUUAUGAUACGAGUGAGAAGUAAAGAAAUUUGUGGGCUACUAACUAGUUUAAUAUAAAGAUUUGAAAGAUAAAUGAAAAUUUCAGAAUCAAAAUUUGAGGGGUGUUACAAUUCUCAUUGUAAUACCCAAUUUUGGCCCGGGCCUGUAAAAAAUUUUAUAAACCCAAUAUCAGGCCUAAUACCUAAACCCGAAUAACCCAACACCAGACCCAAACCCUAGCCCAACUCGAAGUGGCCCAUUUGCUUGAAGCAUCCAGAAACCCUUAGGGUUUCUUGAACAAUUUGCAUCGCAGUCAAGCCAGACUCCUCUCCGCACACGCAUCAGCCUCCCCCGCGUGCGUCUCGCCUCCAGCUGACUCCUACAACAAACAACAGCAACAAAAACAACCAUGCAACAAGAAAGAUAUAGAAAAAUAAUAGAAAAAUGCGGGGAAAUAACAAAAAAGAUAUAGAUUUGAUUUUGAUUGUUUUUCCCUCUUAUUUUCGGCUAUACAAGGUCGAUUUAAAUUUGUAAAAGGGGGGAGUACUAGAUUCUGAGAAAUCAAUAAAAAAAAGACGAAAAACUGAAUUCCUUCAAAGGUGAUUAUUCUGCGUCUUUUUCAUCUUCUUUGUUUUUUUAUUUUUUUAUUUUUUCAUUAUUUGACUCAAAACAAACAAAGGAGUAAUAAAGGAAAGAGAUGAUACCUUCGCGGGGCGCCAAUGAAGCCCUCCCUCUGUGCAAAACAGAGUUGAAUGGGCGGAGGCCUUGAAGAUGAAACGGCAGAGAAUGGGGAAACUGGAGGCGGCAUUCUCCUUUCCUUUGCGGUUUUGAAUGAAAAUGUUCAAAUUUAGGUUUUUUUUUAGUUUUAAAAUGUUUUCGAAAACAGCACCGUUUAAAGGUGAGACCCAAUGACUCGACCUGAACGAGAUCAGAUCCGCACGUUCUGGGUUCGCAAGGGUUAUUUGCGCAUUGGAUCCCUCGGUUUUAUAUCCUUGUUUCAAUUUUGUUUGUUUAUUCCUUUAAAUUCACCCUGUUCAAUUUGAGUUCACUCAUUCUGGUCCGUGUCAAUGCGUAGCGUUUUGGGAGGCGGAAUAUUUCCAACCUGGCCCCCAUGUAAUUCGCGUGUAGCAGUUUAACCCUCCAUUUUAUUUUAAUUUCAUUUAUUUCUUGGUAAUUUUAUUGUAACUGUG